This 253-nucleotide ribosomal RNA is filed under the name uncultured bacterium. Its description in RNAcentral is "partial 16S ribosomal RNA". It matches the Rfam family "Bacterial small subunit ribosomal RNA", at positions 524 to 776 of the family's 1533-position model. The record is from RNAcentral.
UACGUAGGUGGCAAGCGUUGUCCGGAUUUAUUGGGUUUAAAGGGUGCGUAGGCGGCUUUGUAAGUCAGUGGUGAAAUACUCUAGCUUAACUAGAGGGGUGCCAUUGAUACUGCGGAGCUUGAGUACAGAUGAGGUAGGCGGAAUUGACGGUGUAGCGGUGAAAUGCUUAGAUAUCGUCAAGAACACCGAUAGUGAAGACAGCUUACCAAGCUUCAACUGACGCUGAGGCACGAAAGUGUGGGGAUCAAACAGG